ACGCUCGACACCUACGGGAGGCAGCAGUUAGGAAUAUUGGGCAAUGGAGGAAACUCUGACCCAGCAACGCCGCGUGAAGGAAGAAGGUUUUCGGAUUGUAAACUUCUGAUCUAGGGGAAGAAGGAAGUGACGGUACCCUAGGAGAAAGCCACGGCUAACUACGUGCCAACAGCCGCAGUAAUCUGAGCGGGCUGGCAAGGC
RNAcentral lists this ribosomal RNA (201 nucleotides) under uncultured bacterium. Its description in RNAcentral is "partial 16S ribosomal RNA". It matches the Rfam family "Bacterial small subunit ribosomal RNA", at positions 328 to 539 of the family's 1533-position model. The record is from RNAcentral.